This 458-nucleotide non-coding RNA is filed under the name Pongo abelii (Sumatran orangutan). The record is from RNAcentral. Lineage: Eukaryota; Metazoa; Chordata; Mammalia; Primates; Hominidae.
UGCCUCUGGGACGCUGACCUGCACAGGCUGCCUGACCAAAUUCACUCCUUAAUGUCCACAACAAUAGGAACUGGUAAGACAGGGAGAGGGAACAGUAGUCCUAAGCACCAGGAGCCAGAAGUGAGUAGUGCAACUGGAGCACUCAAAGGCAGAAGUGGUCAUUAAUGGCCACCACUGCCGGUGUUACAGACAGAAGAAAAUAUGUUAAAAUAGACCUUAUAUUUUAUUUCUAGGUCAUGUUUAUUUCUAGAAAGUGAGCUGGGUAUGAACCAAUGGCCAGGUGGGCAUGAACCAAUGAACCACGUUCAAGACAUGAUAGGGGAAAAUCUCUUGCCUGUGACCACUACUACACAACUACAUUUUCCCCUGCUAGAUCCAACCUGCUCAUCACUAAACUUACAAAUAUCAUUUAAGUUUUCUCUUUGGACUGAGCAAUAAUAAAUCUUUGUUUUAUCUUA